GUGUGAUCACUGCACUCCUCUGAAUCCUCCACCUGAUGAAUGGAGCCCACAGAUCAGUCUGGUCCUGAGCUGAGACAGGAGGGGGACACACAGCUUGUCAGUGGCUGAACGUCUGUCCUCCUGUGUCCUCCGGCUGCUGCUCGUCUCUUCCUGCCUGCGGCUGUUAGUCAUAAAGUUUCCAUGUUGAUCUGUGAUCUGCAGCCAGCAGGUGGCAGCAGAGAGCCAUGAGACAGCCUGAGGGUGUGAGUCCUCUGUGCUGCUGACAGUCCUGAGAGCCGAAGCCAUCACACAGCGUCACAGCGGACUGCACCAACCAGAGACACACAAGAGACACAAAGGUCCAAGACACAAAACAGCUUCCAGGAGACAGACGCUGUCUGCAAAGAGGGACGACUGAGGACGACUAGGAAGAGACAAACAGAGCAACAAGUGUCUGCAGAGACACUGAAUAACUUCAUGUCCCCUUGUGAUGUCAUCAGAGGAUGCUGUCGUCCCCGUCAUGUGACCGCACGCUGUCUACCUGUGUCUACCCGAAGCAGGCAGAGGCUGCUGGCUGUCUGCCCAGAGUCUGUCUGUGUCUGUGUGUGUGUCUGUGUGUGUUCCUGCUUCCAUGGAAAACACGCCCACACAGGUUGAGGAAGGAAUAAAGAGCAGAAACACAGAGAGAGACGCACAGACGGACGAGCAGACGAAUGGACGGCGUGCAGACGGAGCGGAGACAAGAUGAACGGACCUCUGCCCACUACCCCUUCUGUUGUCGUUAACAACACCACGCAGUCUCUGAUGGCGUGUUUCCAUGACGACGAUGCCUUCAAGUACCGCGCCUACACCUUCACCUACCUGCUGGUGUUUCCUGUGGCGUUCCUGUGCAACAUGGCGGCGCUGGUGGUCUUCUUCCUGCAGAGCAGCCGCAGGUCUGAAGCUGCAAACACACAGACACACACACACAGACUCACACACCAAACCUCGUGCUAAACUGUCAGCAGUGUGUGGACAGCUGAGCUU
Molecule: long non-coding RNA, 1005 nt
Organism: Parambassis ranga (Indian glassy fish)
Lineage: Eukaryota; Metazoa; Chordata; Actinopteri; Ambassidae
Source: Ensembl